CUACGGGGGGCAGCAGUGAGGAAUUUUGCGCAAUGGGGGGAACCCUGACGCAGCAACGCCGCGUGAGUGAUGAAGGCUUUCGGGUCGUAAAGCUCUGUCAAGUGGGAAGAACCUAUGCAGUGUUAAUAUCACUGUAUACUGACGGUACCACUGAAGGAAGCACCGGCUAACUCCGUGCCAGCAGCCGCGGUAAUACGGGGGGUGCAAGCGUUAUUCGGAAUCAUUGGGCGUAAAGGGCACGUAGGCGGCUUGGUAAGUCAGAGGUGAAAGCCCGGGGCUUAACCCCGGAAGUGCAUUUGGUACUGUAAGGCUUGAGUAUGGGAGAGGGAAGUGGAAUUCCUGGUGUAGAGGUGAAAUUCGUAGAUAUCAGGAGGCACACCGGUGGCGAAGGCGACUUCCUGGACCAAUACUGACGCUGAGGUGCGAAGGCGUGGGUAGCAAACAGGAUUAGAUACCCGGGUAGUC
RNAcentral lists this ribosomal RNA (465 nucleotides) under uncultured bacterium. RNAcentral's name for it is "partial 16S ribosomal RNA". It matches the Rfam family "Bacterial small subunit ribosomal RNA", at positions 339 to 795 of the family's 1533-position model. The record is from RNAcentral.